AAACUAGGAUUAGAUACCCUAUUAUUUAAAAUAUAAUUAUAAAUACUUAAGUAGUAGUAGUUAUGUUCUUGAAACUUAAAAAAUUUGGCGGUAUUUUAGUCUAUCCAGAGGAACCUGUUUUGUAAUCGAUAAUCCACGAUGGACCUUACUUAAGUUUGUAAUCAGUUUAUAUACCGUCGUUAUCAGAAUAUUUUAUAAGAAUAAAAAUAUUCAAUAAUUUAUAUUAAAAUUUAUAUCAGAUCAAGGUGUAGCUUAUAUUUAAGUAAUAAUGGGUUACAAUAAAAAUAUUUAAACGAAUAAAAUAAUGAAAAAAUUUUUGAAGGUGGAUUUGGUAGUAAAAUUAUAAAGAUUAAUAAUUUGAUUUUAGCUCUAAAAUAUGUACACAUCGCCCGUCGCUCUUAUUAUUAAGGUAAGAUAAGUCGUAACAUAGUA
This 432-nucleotide ribosomal RNA is filed under the name Drosophila kepulauana. RNAcentral's name for it is "partial 12S ribosomal RNA". The record is from RNAcentral. Lineage: Eukaryota; Metazoa; Arthropoda; Insecta; Diptera; Drosophilidae.